Molecule: long non-coding RNA, 1200 nt
Organism: Parasteatoda tepidariorum (common house spider)
Lineage: Eukaryota; Metazoa; Arthropoda; Arachnida; Araneae; Theridiidae
Source: RefSeq, a predicted model, not a curated record
CGGAGGUCAAAGUUAAACCAAACUAUCAAUUGAGUUGAAAAGUUCUCAAACAUAUACUAAAUGUAUAAAAAAUAGCUUCUGAUCCCGAUACUAGGUACCUGGGGCAGUUUGCAGCAUUUCAGGGUCCCGCAGUGGACGAAAAGACACGGUUCCCAGUAGAACAAGUCAAGCAUCACUGACUGCGGUCAGUAAGUUGGUAGAUGACCACUUUGAUCAGCCAGCUUAGGAACCGAGGGAACAUGGCAUCGGUCCUCGUUUAACGGUUCUACCUUAAAGUUCUCAGUUUCGCGUUCAGUAGUCGGGUUACCAAAGCAGGGGAGCCAUUCCCUCUACAUAGGAUCAAAAUUGCGAUAGAAUGUCUUCGGAUCAUCUUCAGGGAUGUUUCCCAAACCGUCGCCAAUAACCCGUUUUGAGACUUAAAUAAAGUACCUACCUACCUACGCUUCAGGGCUUUUAGCGGAAGAUCGAUACCCCUCAGCCACAAUUUUUUUUGUUUAUUCACAUAUGCACAAUGCAGAAAAUGUCUCUUAAACUCUUAUCAAAUUGAAGAACAGUGAACACAAAUUAGAGCAAGACAGUGCAAAUAUGGAUUACGGUGAGAUUCGAAGUCGUUAUCUGCAUACUUCAGAGUAUUUUCGGAAGGACGAUACUCCACGGUUACGUAGGUGCAAGUUCUGUUAAGUGGGCCAGGUGAAAAUAAGCAGCCAGAAACGAAUUAAAAAAAGUAAAAACAUCGCCAUAAACUCCAUCAUUUGUGUGUAUGAGGUAUGGAGUAUUGUUUGCUAAUUUAAAUGGAUUUCUAAUCUAUUGAACUUUUUAUAGUCAUGGAACGCAAAAAAGCUAUCAGAAGUGGAACGGUGGCUGCUGUAGUCUUUUCUUUAGGCUUAAUUUCUGCCAUACGAAACUGCUUUCGCCAACCUCCUACACCAUUUACCCUAUCCAGCGUCGAGAUCUAUUCCUAUAUAUUUGGUGGUGGCUACAUAAUGAUAGAAUCAUUUUUGACUUGGAGGAGCUGUAGAAAUAUUGAUGAUGAAAGUUGAGCAGUUGAGCACUUAUGAUAUAUGUAUGAAAAACUUUGUUUCAUUGCUGUUGUUUUAGAUCCAGAAACUAAAUUUCAUCACGCUGCAGUUUUAAAUCAUUCCUUUAAUGCAUUUAUCUUUAAUUUAGCUUCCUAUGAAAUAAAUUUAAUAUCUUUGUUUA